This 6054-nucleotide long non-coding RNA is filed under the name Citrus sinensis (sweet orange). RNAcentral describes it as "long non-coding RNA (CSIN_LNC002422)". Lineage: Eukaryota; Viridiplantae; Streptophyta; Magnoliopsida; Sapindales; Rutaceae. The record is from RNAcentral.
CAACUCCACCGGCAGAACCACCACCAACGCCGCCACCAGCACCACCGCCAACGCCGCCACCCACGCCACCAACUCCACCAAGCCCACUUGAACCACCGAGCCCACUAGCACCACCGAGGCCACCGACUCCACCAAUUCCUCCAAGCCCACCAGCACCACCGAGGCCAGUAAUCCCACCAAGACCUCCAACUCCACCAAACGGAAGCCCAUUAGAACCAAUGCCGGAGAAGCCACCAACACCACCGUAUGUUAGAAAGUUCUUUUGAUCAUCAAGGCCAGCAUCAGUGGGCGCACUUUUGGCAGUGUUAUGAACCACUUGAUCAUCAUGAUCACUAGGCGUAUUUCUUGCACUAGUGUGAACCGCUGCUACAGCAAGAACAAGCAUGACAUUGGCACACCACUUUGCCAUCUCUCUCAAAGAUUAUUAUUAUUUGAUUACUAUUAUGAAUUUUUCUUCUUAGUACAUGUGAACUAUUGUUGCGGGAGUCUCCUUAUAAAGGCUAAGAGGGCAUUGGGGAGGUAGUUGUGGGUAGUAAAUAGAAUUGAAUGCGGGCAACUUAGCUGGCACACUCGCUCAUAAGGUCUGCUGUUUGAAAUAUAUAUUUUCAAGGAUUUGUGCUUAGAGUAAAAUUGUUAUAGGAGUCAUCGUAAUGGUUUAAACGCCUGCUGUACGGCCAAGGCGGAUGUACGGUACAGCAGAAAUUUUGUUUUCAGAAGUACUGCAAGUUUUAAAAACAAUUAUGGACGUUUGAUAAAUUUUACUAUUAAACUGCUGAGAGUAAGUAAAUGAUUAAAAUAUAAAUAAUAUAGGAUAAAAUUUACUUAUACAUGUGAAAACACGUACACACAAUAUUUUUAAUUUUGUAUGAUGAUAAUUUUAACUAAAAAUAAAAUUUAUAAUAUAUAUUGAUUUUAUUUUUUAUCGUAAACAAUUGAUAAUUAAAUUUAUAAUAUAGUGAAACAAAUUUAAUAAUAAAUCGACCAACAAAUAUUGAUGAAUCAUAAUAAAAAUUUACUAAAAUAUUGGUUUUGUUUCCAAUUGAAUAAGAAUAAUUUUGGGUUUAGGUAAUAAUUUUAAAGAUAUUGAUGGAAUUGUAUUAAAGGAUAAAAUUGAUUUUUAAAAUCAGAAUCUAAAAGCUACUUCUUACUUACUUUUCAAAAUCAUCUGUAGUAGAGGCUGAUUUUGACAAAAGUGAUUUUGAUUUUUUUUUUUUACCAAACACUAAAAUUAACUUUUAGAUUUUUAAAAUUAGUUUUAAAUCUCCUAAAAGCAAUCCCAAAUAGAGCCUAACUCUAUUAUAAAUUCUUAAUUAAUAGCUCAUCUAAUAUUUGGUGUUAAAACAUGGACAAAAUAUCACAAAUUGGUAGGUAAAUUUGGACAUUUCAUUUCCACGACAUAUAGUCAAGUUUAAGGCUGUGGCCCGACAAAUUAAUGACCUUACUUUGCUUAGUGUAACGUAAUGCAUGAGCUUCGAUAACUUCAUAUGUAAACUUUAGUUGCUUUCGUUAAAGUUCUAUAACAUCAGUCAUCUCCAUUUAAAAGACAGAAGAAGAAGAAGAUAAAACACGCGAUUUAAUUAUUUACGUCGAAUAUCUCUGAAGUAGAGAAUUACAUUACAAUAACAUACCAAAAGCUCUCAAAACUAAAACUCAAAAGCAAACAGUAACUGAAACCAAAGUAAACGAACUAUCACACGAACAUGGCAUUAAAACUAAACUUUCUUAAUAACGCGCACGGGAAUAACGUGCACGGGAAACCCUCAAACAGGAAAAACCUUGAUUAAUUAAAAGCAAGUAAAGAAGCCCUAAUGUCUUCUAAGGCUCCAACUAUUUCAAGGGAAAGGAAGCACUCCAGUGCCAAUGCCAACUCCACCGGCAGAACCACCACCAACGCCGCCACCAGCACCACCUCCAACGCCGCCGCCACCGCCAACGCCGCCACCCACGCCACCAACUCCACCAAGCCCACUUGAACCACCGAGCCCACUAGCACCACCGAGGCCACCGACUCCACCAAUUCCUCCAAGCCCACCAGCACCACCGAGGCCAGUAAUCCCACCAAGACCUCCAACUCCACCAAACGGAAGCCCAUUAGAACCAAUGCCGGAGAAGCCACCAACACCACCGUAUGUUAGAAAGUUCUUUUGAUCAUCAAGGCCAGCAUCAGUGGGCGCACUUUUGGCAGUGUUAUGAACCACUUGAUCAUCAUGAUCACUAGGCGUAUUUCUUGCACUAGUGUGAACCGCUGCUACAGCAAGAACAAGCAUGACAUUGGCACACCACUUUGCCAUCUCUCUCAAAGAUUAUUAUUAUUUGAUUACUAUUAUGAAUUUUUCUUCUUAGUACAUGUGAACUAUUGUUGCGGGAGUCUCCUUAUAAAGGCUAAGAGGGCAUUGGGGAGGUAGUUGUGGGUAGUAAAUAGAAUUGAAUGCGGGCAACUUAGCUGGCACACUCGCUCAUAAGGUCUGCUGUUUGAAAUAUAUAUUUUCAAGGAUUUGUGCUUAGAGUAAAAUUGUUAUAGGAGUCAUCGUAAUGGUUUAAACGCUUGGGGUACCAGCUGAAAGAAAGUUACUGCGAUGGCCAGAGUGGCAAAUGCAGAAAUAAACAUGCAUGCCAGAUAUGGUGGUGACAAAUGAAAUGCUGAUUAGGGAUGUGGCGUUCGGGCAUGUGAUAUGCAGAGAAACAUUUGCCCAACCAAUCAAGUAAUUACAUUUGGUUGGAAGAAAAGGGCCGAUGUGAAGUGAUUGACUCAAUUCUGGGCAUUAUUAAUUUCCUGGACCAUUUCCAAUGACAUGAAAAAUUUUAAACUGUGUGUGACAAGGAACCUUACCUUUUGAGUUUUGAGAGGAAAUGCAAAUCCUAAUUAAGCUGUGAAAAAGUAAAAUUAAAUGUUCUUGCGUUGCGGAGAAUUAAGUAAAAAGUCAUCGAGCCUUUUCACUGAGCUGUAGUCCAUAACUCAUAAUACGUAGUAGCACGUGGUCAAUUCUAAACAUCAAUUUUUUUUUAUUAAAAAAAACUCUAAACAUUGAAUUAAUUUGCAAGAAAUAUUUCUUUUUUUUUUUUCAUCUUGGUAUUAGACUUCUAUAUCAAACAUUUUCUACUGUCAUUAUACUUUUUAUUCUACUAAUUAAUUUGCUUAUCUAAUCUAAAAGAAAAAAAAUUCUUAUCUCAACUAAAUUUGCGUGUUUUGGUUACUUUACUCACUCACUUUGUCAAUCUAGUUUUCUCUAACUAAAGACUUUUAGUUAACAUGUACUGACACAUUAAUUUAAUGGUAAAAUCUGUCCAAUCCUUUGGGACCAUCGUAAUUCAAGAGUUUGGAAAAAGUUAAACACUAUUUGCACACAAAAUUAUAAAUAAAAAUGAAUUAAUAAAUUUGUACAAUUUUAUAUGCAAGUAGCAUUACUCAUGGCAAAAUUUGAAGCAGUUAAUGGUUUUAUAUAGGGUAAGUUGAUUAUUAAAGAAUUAGAUUGUUUUGUUAAAUCUGAUUGGUGGUUAUUAAAUAUAAAGUUUCCAUUCAAUAUUUUAAUUUACUGUUGAGUUGCAUUAAAUAUUGGUUGGUCAAUGGAAGUCAGCUGCUAAAUUCAAUGUCGACCUACAUUCAAUCUCUACCUAACAAGUUUAAUUUGGGAUCGGAUACCUGCACAUUCUAAGUCCACCCCAAAUAUUACACUCCACCAUUCCCAACUCUUUACACCUAAAUUGAGAAAAUCGUUUGGAGAAAAUAUUGGUCAACACUAAUUGAAUCGUUGACUUAAACUAUAGGAAAUAAUAGAACAUUUACAACUGAGAAAAGUUUAGUAACACGACACAUAAAUUCUCCACCAGUUUUAUUUUUUCCUCUAUGUAUAGUAGUGUCUUUCAGCUAUAGGAUCAUUUUUCUAAUAUAUAAAUUAUCAUUAAAAUACAUGCUUAUUGAUAACGUAUUAUCAGUUUUGAUAUUCAGUUAUUGAUUCACCGAUCAUCCAAUUGAAGAAACGUGUUUUCAUUUCUUGAAUAAAACAUUAUACACUGAGAGUUAUUUAUAGAUGCAGAUGCUACAUUUUUUCAAAGAUUACAUAUGUAAAUACGGAAGGAAAUAGGUCUGUGUUGUGCGCGAGAGCUGGGCUGACGCUGGUGCUGCGUUGCGUUGCGCGCGCGGGACUGAUGUACUGCGCGAGGGUGAUUGCUGGAUUGAUUUGCGCUGUGCGCGCGAGCUGGAGCUGAGGAUCUGCGUUGCUAGGCGUUACUGCUGCUGCUUCGCGGGAUGUGUUGCGUGCACGGUUGCUGCUGAUUUCGCACAAUGGUGAUGGCUGGGGCUUGCUGCGUUGCACGCGGCUGCUUUCGCUGGUGGGACUUCGUUGCGCGCUGCUGGGCUGCGAGACACGGGAUGCUGGUGUUGCGCUCACGAGAUGGUGCGUUUUCCGGCGGGCUGGUUUGCUGCUGGUGUGCUGCAAGCGGCUGGAGAAGAAAACAAGUUCUGGAAAAUUAGGGAUUUUGUGAACAGUGAAUAGUGAACAGUGAUUUUCGAUUUUUGGUUUUUUUUUAAAUAAAUAAACAUAAUCAUUAAAGAACAUAUAUGGGAAUUAAAUAAAUAAAUAAAAUAAUUAUUUCAUUGAAUAGGGUUUCAUCUUUAACCUCAGUAUAAGAAAAUUAGCUGGACAUACUUAAAUUGGGAGCAACAAAAAAAAUAAAAUCAGCCAUGGGAAGCCGAAAUAUUGCUGCUGCAACUGGUCUCUUCCAACCUGACAUACUUGAAUUGGGAGCAACAAAAGAAAUAAAAUCAGCCAUGGGAAGCUUCCUUUUCCAAUUAUGAAACAAAGCUUCCAUAAUAACGCCAGCCAUUAAUUCCACUUUUGAAAGUCAAGUGUGGGCCCCAUUUAAAUUGCUUUCCCCUUUUGCAAUGCUAUGGACGUGCAACUCAAUUGGAGAAUUGAAAUUCUUUUUCAAUGCAAAUUGCUCUUAGCUCUUAACUCUAUCACAGCUUCAACUAAUAUUUCUCUAAAUUAUUAUUUUUUUUGCACUUUUUAUUUCCAAUCUCCAAUUAAUUUCCUAUUCAAUAAAACAAUUCAAUUAAUUAAAAAUAACAAAUAAAAUUAACUAGCAAAUAUACAAUAAAGGGUAAAAUAUGUAUAUAAAUUAUGCUCAUCACAUUGCUUAAUAUUUAUUAUUAUGGUUGGUUGAAUUAUAUACAUGGCAAUUAAUGAAUGAAAAUACAGGUGCUCCUGAAUCCCAAAACAUUUCCACGACAUAUAGUCAAGUUUAAGGCUGUGGCCCGACAAAUUAAUGACCUUACUUUGCUUAGUGUAACAUAAUGCAUGAGCUUCGAUAACUUCAUAUGUAAACUUUAGUUGCUUUAGCUAAGGUUCUAUAACAUCAGUCAUCUCCAUUUAAAAGACAGAAGAAGAAGAUAAAACACGCGAUUAAAUUAUUUACGUCGAAUAUCUCUGAAGUAGAGAAUUACAUUACGAUAACAUACCAGAAGCUCUCAAAGCUAAAAAUCAAAAGCAAACAGUAACUGAAGCCGAAGUAAACGAACUAUCACACGAACAUGACAUUAAACUAAACUUUCUUAAUAACGUGCACGGGAAACCCUCAAACAGGAAAAACCUUGAUUAAUUAAAAGCAAGUAAAGAAGCCCUAAUGUCUUCUAAGGCUCCAACUAUUUCAAUGGAAAGGAAGCACUCCGGUGCCAGUGCCAACUCCACCGGCAGAACCACCACCAACGCCGCCACCAGCACCACCGCCAACGCCGCCACCCACGCCACCAACUCCACCAAGCCCACUUGAACCACCGAGACCACCGACUCCACCAAUUCCUCCAAGCCCACCAGCACCACCGAGGCCAGUAACGCCAGCAAGACCUCCAACUCCACCAAGCGGAAGCCCAUUAGAACCAAUGCCGGAGAAGCCACUGACACCACCGUAUGUUAGAAAGUUCUUUUGAUCAUCAAGGCCAGCACCAGAGGGUGCAUUUUUGGCAGCGUUAUGAACCACUUGAUCAUCAUGAUCACUAGGCGUGUUUCUUGCACUAGUGUGAACCGCUACUACAGCAAGAACAAGCAUGACAGUGAC